This 547-nucleotide ribosomal RNA is filed under the name uncultured bacterium. Its description in RNAcentral is "bacterial SSU rRNA". It matches the Rfam family "Bacterial small subunit ribosomal RNA", at positions 201 to 766 of the family's 1533-position model. The record is from RNAcentral.
GAAAAGGAGCAAUCCGCUGAUAGAUGGGCUUGCGUCUGAUUAGCUAGUUGGUGGGGCAACGGCCUACCAAGGCGACGAUCAGUAGCCGGCCUGAGAGCUUGAACGGCCACAUUGGGACUGAGAUACGGCCCAGACUCCUACGGGAGGCAGCAGUCGGGAAUAUUGCGCAAUGGAGGAAACUCUGACGCAGUGACGCCGCGUAUAGGAAGAAGGUUUUCGGAUUGUAAACUAUUGUCGUGAGGGAAGAAAUUGACAGUACCUCAGGAGGAAGCUCCGGCUAACUAUGUGCCAGCAGCCGCGGUAAUACAUAGGGAGCAAGCGUUAUCCGGAUUUAUUGGGUGUAAAGGGUGCGUAGACGGGAAAUUAAGUUAGUUGUGAAAUCCCUUGGCUUAACUGAGGAACUGCAACUAAAACUGGUUUUCUUGAGUACUGGAGAGGAAAGUGGAAUUCCUAGUGUAGCGGUGAAAUGCGUAGAUAUUAGGAGGAACACCAGUGGCGAAGGCGACUUUCUGGACAGUAACUGACGUUGAGGCACGAAAGUGUGGGG